CAGUUAUCAAAUAAUUAACAAGUGCUCGAGUUAAUUAACAAGACUAGCCGUUAUCCUGAAAAAACAAUUGUGCCCCACGCACACAACAAUACAGUAUAUAAUGUUUAAUCCAAGAAAUGUAGCAGUACUGCUAUACACUGCACUGUAUAUGACUGGGGAAUUCCCAGAAAGUCCUGUUACAACAGAUGAAAAUGAAACAAAAGACAUGAUGGAAAAUAUGUUUCGAUCAAUGUAUGAAGAAGCGUUUGAAGUUUAUGAAGAAUCAUCAUUAGAUUUUCAAAACGAAUUUGAUAUACCUGAAGUAGAACCUGUAAUUUAUGAAGAAAGAGAAGAUGACACAUAUUUUGUAAAAGAAAUUGAAUGUGUUGCGGAUUGUGUACCAAUAGAAUAUAAAAGAAAUGCAGUAGAGUUAUGGAGAAGUGGAACAAAAAAGUCAAGAACUCUUGCAUCUAUAAGAAAUAGAUUUCGGAAAGUCACGUCAUUACGUCAAUUAAGAAGAUGGGAGCAGCAAGUAAAUCAAGGUGGCAGCAGAUUUGAUAAAC
Molecule: non-coding RNA, 542 nt
Organism: Nylanderia fulva
Lineage: Eukaryota; Metazoa; Arthropoda; Insecta; Hymenoptera; Formicidae
Source: RefSeq, a predicted model, not a curated record